This 1658-nucleotide ribosomal RNA is filed under the name Escherichia coli. RNAcentral's name for it is "partial 23S ribosomal RNA". It matches the Rfam family "Bacterial large subunit ribosomal RNA", at positions 1206 to 2841 of the family's 2925-position model. Lineage: Bacteria; Pseudomonadati; Pseudomonadota; Gammaproteobacteria; Enterobacterales; Enterobacteriaceae. The record is from RNAcentral.
CAGCGACACUAUGUGUUGUUGGGUAGGGGAGCGUUCUGUAAGCCUGUGAAGGUGUGCUGUGAGGCAUGCUGGAGGUAUCAGAAGUGCGAAUGCUGACAUAAGUAACGAUAAAGCGGGUGAAAAGCCCGCUCGCCGGAAGACCAAGGGUUCCUGUCCAACGUUAAUCGGGGCAGGGUGAGUCGACCCCUAAGGCGAGGCCGAAAGGCGUAGUCGAUGGGAAACAGGUUAAUAUUCCUGUACUUGGUGUUACUGCGAAGGGGGGACGGAGAAGGCUAUGUUGGCCGGGCGACGGUUGUCCCGGUUUAAGCGUGUAGGCUGGUUUUCCAGGCAAAUCCGGAAAAUCAAGGCUGAGGCGUGAUGACGAGGCACUACGGUGCUGAAGCAACAAAUGCCCUGCUUCCAGGAAAAGCCUCUAAGCAUCAGGUAACAUUAAAUCGUACCCCAAACCGACACAGGUGGUCAGGUAGAGAAUACCAAGGCGCUUGAGAGAACUCGGGUGAAGGAACUAGGCAAAAUGGUGCCGUAACUUCGGGAGAAGGCACGCUGAUAUGUAGGUGAAGUCCCUCGCGGAUGGAGCUGAAAUCAGUCGAAGAUACCAGCUGGCUGCAACUGUUUAUUAAAAACACAGCACUGUGCAAACACGAAAGUGGACGUAUACGGUGUGACGCCUGCCCGGUGCCGGAAGGUUAAUUGAUGGGGUUAGCGGUAACGCGAAGCUCUUGAUCGAAGCCCCGGUAAACGGCGGCCGUAACUAUAACGGUCCUAAGGUAGCGAAAUUCCUUGUCGGGUAAGUUCCGACCUGCACGAAUGGCGUAAUGAUGGCCAGGCUGUCUCCACCCGAGACUCAGUGAAAUUGAACUCGCUGUGAAGAUGCAGUGUACCCGCGGCAAGACGGAAAGACCCCGUGAACCUUUACUAUAGCUUGACACUGAACAUUGAGCCUUGAUGUGUAGGAUAGGUGGGAGGCUUUGAAGUGUGGACGCCAGUCUGCAUGGAGCCGACCUUGAAAUACCACCCUUUAAUGUUUGAUGUUCUAACGUUGACCCGUGAUCCGGGUUACGGACAGUGUCUGGUGGGUAGUUUGACUGGGGCGGUCUCCUCCUAAAGAGUAACGGAGGAGCACGAAGGUUGGCUAAUCCUGGUCGGACAUCAGGAGGUUAGUGCAAUGGCAUAAGCCAGCUUGACUGCGAGCGUGACGGCGCGAGCAGGUGCGAAAGCAGGUCAUAGUGAUCCGGUGGUUCUGAAUGGAAGGGCCAUCGCUCAACGGAUAAAAGGUACUCCGGGGAUAACAGGCUGAUACCGCCCAAGAGUUCAUAUCGACGGCGGUGUUUGGCACCUCGAUGUCGGCUCAUCACAUCCUGGGGCUGAAGUAGGUCCCAAGGGUAUGGCUGUUCGCCAUUUAAAGUGGUACGCGAGCUGGGUUUAGAACGUCGUGAGACAGUUCGGUCCCUAUCUGCCGUGGGCGCUGGAGAACUGAGGGGGGCUGCUCCUAGUACGAGAGGACCGGAGUGGACGCAUCACUGGUGUUCGGGUUGUCAUGCCAAUGGCACUGCCCGGUAGCUAAAUGCGGAAGAGAUAAGUGCUGAAAGCAUCUAAGCACGAAACUUGCCCCGAGAUGAGUUCUCCCUGACUCCUUGAGAGUCCUGAAGGAACGUUGA